Molecule: long non-coding RNA, 1149 nt
Organism: Tyto alba (common barn owl)
Lineage: Eukaryota; Metazoa; Chordata; Aves; Strigiformes; Tytonidae
Exons: 2
Source: RefSeq, a predicted model, not a curated record
GCAGCGGGCGCUGAUUGCGGCUGACAGCGGCUCAGCGCUCGCCGGGUGCGUGCCGCCCUUUCCGAGGGGGGCUGCGGGGCUGGCAGGCGGGCGACAGACACAGACACCCCCCCCCCGCCUUUUCGCUUCGGUCAGGGGGUGUCCCCGAGGUUGAAGGCGGAGGGAGAGGGGGAAAGGUGGACGACCCCAGCCCCGCUGCUGCUGACCUGUGGGGCCUGAUCCUGCUGCUCCCCUCUGCGCCAUGAUCAUCCGCCCCAGACGCUUAACCCCGGGGUAUUUCCGUCUGCUCCAGAUGCAGCUGGCGGCAGGGCGGGGGGCUGAGCCGGGGGGGCGGCUGCUGACCCCCCUGGCCCUGCUGCUGGCGGCCGCCGGGCUCUGCCUCUCCUUCUACAGCGCCCGCAGAAUGGCCAGCCCCACCCAAGCCCCCCCAAAACCGUGAGGAAGAGGCUGGUGGAGGGGGCCCCAGGGAUGGUCCCCAAAGGGAUGUGGGGGUCCCCCUCUGCCCGCUGGCCCCCGCCUGAAGGGAGCUGCCAGCUGCGGAUCCUUUCCAGCUGAUCUGCGUCACAUCCAGCCCUUCCCUCCGCUCCUGGGCGGUGCGACGCCCUGGGGCUGGGGGGCACCCGCCUCUCUGUCCCCCUGUCUGUCCCCGCUUUUGGGAGACGGUUCAACAACCGCAGAACGGAGGAGCCACCUCCCGGCUCCAGAGCUGCCGGCGAAGCCACCACGAUCCAGCCACAAAACAACAAGAAGCUGAACGGACAGACAGACCCCAUUCAUCUCCAUCUUCCCAGGCAAGCAGAGCGGCCUGGGGGGGGGGCCCCCCCUUGUACCCCACUGGUGGCCACGCAGCCCGCCCCCUCCCCCUCCCCCUCCCCACGCAGACCAUGCUGCAGCCCCACACAAAGGAGGUCAGCGCCGAGCGCUGUUAGGUAACGCCGAGGGGAAGGCUGGGGCCCAAGUGGCCUCAGUAACAACAGGGCUGGGGGGACACGGGGUCGGCGACGUGUCCCCUGGGCAGGCGCAUCCCGUGGGGAUGGGGUCUGCAACCUCUGCAGCCCCCUCGCACCCACUAAACCCCCACUCCUAGGGCUGGGCGGGGGGGUUAAAUCCGGGCAGGCGGUGUGGAAAUAAAUCCUUCCCUGCUGAGCA